AUAGAAAUGAAUGAGCGGUCCCCAUAAAGAUAUGUUUACCCGACUGUGUGUGUGUGUGUGUGUGUGUGUGUGUGUGUUUAGCAAAAUGUCAAGACAACCUCUUAGAAGUUGAAUUUCGUGGAAUUUAAUUAAAUUCAAUUCUGCCACCUGUCAGUCCAAUUCAAUUCCAAUUCUGUUUUCCCUGAGCAGGGAGAUAUUCUAAGGUCAAUUUCAACUCCAGGAAGUGAAUUGGAAUUUAUCAUGCAUUAUUAAUUCAAUUAAAGUAUGGCCCCAACCCUGGUAAAAACUGCAACUGAAGUUAUAGUAGAAAUAAAUCAUACAUCCUUAGAAUGUUGUUGUUAUCAUUGACCUAUUCCUUUGCAAGCAGUCCCACACCACAACGCUUGAAAAUGUACAUGAAGUCUCCUGGAAGAGAUAAUGUCUCGCUGUCACUGACAUUUCUGGGGAAGAAAAUUCACAGCUGCAUUGACCCAGCUGUAAAACCAAGUACCUGGGAAACCACAGCUCUACCUUCUAAUUUGGAAGCUUCCAUGCCAGGCUCUGGGCCUGGUCAUUCCCAGAAUUUGAUUUUUGGCCCUGAAGAACUUCCUGGCAGCGUGCCACACCUUAGGGAAGACGUGCCGCCAGAAUCGCAAUGCACUGUUCACAGCACACGCCUAGACAAAGACACUGAAUCAGACUCAUGGUUGAAGAAAAACAAGGUUGGAUGGAAUGUCUUUAAGCAAUGGAUGAGAGCGGACAGGAAGAUUGGACUUCAAGCACGUGAUGUUAUGAGAGCCGGAGAGAAACGCGAGGAAGAAGAUGCUAGUUUAAAAAUAUUUAUUCCCUAUGAUUCAGCCAAGUUGUGCGUCACUCAGAUCAUAGAAGACAUGGAAUUUAUGAAAAGAAGACAUUUGGAAAUUGUCAACGAGCUUGAAGAGAGCUAUAUAAAUGCAGCAAAAAACAAUCAGGAAAAAAUAAUCCAAAAGGUCAAUGCUCAUUAUCAAAAUAAGCUCAUCUCCUUAAGGAGAAUGUUGGAUGUAUACCAGGAGAUGGCGGAGAAGAAAAACAUUUACUGUGAAGAAAGAAUAAAGACCUUAAAAAACCGCAACCAAAAACAUCUGGAAGAGAAAACAGCUCUUCAAGAGAAGAACCAGGCAGAUGCUGCCAAAUGGGAAAGAGAAAAGCUGGAAAUGCUUGAGCUCUUUUCCACAAGGUUAGACCUGCUCCACAAGCACCAGGCAUCCACAUUGCAGGAGCUUCAGAUGGCCAGGCAGGAACUGGGGAGUAUCCAGGUGAUGCUGAAGCCCACAUGUGCCAAUGAGGAGAUCAAUGUGACCUCCGUGAUGAGAACCGAUUUAUUACAGCCAGAGACAGAAGAUGGCGGAGAGAGUGAAAGUUGUGGUGGUAGCGGCGAGUUAACACUAGAGGGAGCACAAGCCCGUCUGGAAACUCUGAAGGAGAACCUGUACAAACGAGAGCGGGAGAUCACUGAGCUCCUUCAAGGAGAAAGGGAAAUGGAGAGGGAACAGACACUUAUUACAGCAAUACGAAUCCCAUGUACUGCCUUACUCAGAACAAUUAUACAAAAGGCCCAUGAUAUCUACCAGAACGUGGCUGAAGCACAGCUUCUGGUUGACCAUAUGGCGGAAGACAAUGGUCUGGAAUUAGCACAAGCCAAGGAGGUGCCUGACCAAGAGCAGAUGACUACAACAAAUCACAGACACCAGGGAGAGGACGAACCAGAGUGGGAAAGACUAACUGAGGAACAGCAUAGAAGAUGUACUUCGUUACAGAAAACUGAAGCCGUACACAUUGCCUUGGAAUGUAUCAAGAAAGGUUUAAUUCCUUCACUCUCAGAUGGUACUUGGAAGCUUGAACACAACUGCAGCGGGCCGGAUGAAGAACAUUGUCAGGUUCUUGAGAACAACAAUUUCAGAAUAAAAAGUUUGGGCCAGCAGCUGUUACAGCUACAAACUGAGUUCAAACAAGCCAGAGAAGAGACUAAGCGGAUAACUGAAAAUUACAACUCCGAAAGAACAAUGAGGAAAAAAUAUUUUAAUAUGGUGGAAGACAUGAAAGGGAAAAUCAGAGUGUUUUGUCGCAUAAGGCCCAUGAGCGAGGCUGAGACAAGCUGUGGAAGUAUCCCUGUUGUCGACUGCCUGGACGAUUACUCAGUCACAGUGGAAACUUCACGGGGCUUGAAGGAGUUCCAGUUCGAUAGAGUUUUCAACCCCACAAGUUCACAGGAAGACGUCUUCCAGGACAUAAGCAGGCUUAUUCAGUCUGCGAUAGAUGGGUAUAAUGUCUGCAUCUUUGCAUAUGGACAAACAGGCUCAGGAAAGACCUUCACCAUGGUCGGCGACAAAGAUCUGAAGAACCCAGGAAUCAUGCCGCGCACGUUUAGAACAAUAUUUCACAUCACGCAGGAAAACAGUUCCAAGUUUGAUUUCAAGGUCUCCAUGUGUAUGCUGGAACUGUACAACGAACGCCUGCUGGAUCUCUUCGUCAGUCCUGUCGAUGCACUCGGUAAAAGAAUAGAAAUUAAGAAGGACAGGAAGGGACUUGUGAUCGCUCACGGAGCGGAGACAAAGGACGCAGCCAGCGCUGAGGAGCUUCUGGCACUGUUUGAACAGGGCUGUUGUAAUCGACACAUUGCGGCCACAAAAAUGAACAUGGAGAGUUCCCGCUCUCAUCUAAUCGUUGGAAUCACCAUGGAGAGCAGAAACCACACCAAUGGCUGUGUAAGCUACGGGAAGCUGAGCCUGGUCGACCUGGCAGGAAGUGAACGGGUGGCGAAGACGGGAGCCAAGGAUGAGCAGCUUAAGGAGGCGAAUUCCAUCAAUAAAUCCCUGAGUGCUCUGGGUGAUGUCAUAUUUGCUCUGUCUACAGAGCAAGUUUAUGUCCCUUACCGAAACAACAAGUUAACCCAGUUCAUGCAGGACUCUCUGGGGGGAAAUGCCAAAACACUCAUGUUCGUCAACAUCUCCCCCGCCAGCUGCAAUACUGAGGAGACUCUCACCUCGUUAAGCUAUGCAACACGAGUCAAAGCAAUAACUAAUACGGCUCAAAAAAAUUCUGAGAGCAAAGAGAUUGCUCAUCUCAAAGAGAUCAUUCUGAAGUUAAAAUCGGGACAACCAGUGGAUGACGAUGUGUGAUUAUAUAUGUUCAGUGGCGGAAAUACAAAUAUCGUACAUGAAAAACACAUGGCAAUGAGAGGAUCAGUGAUAUCUCGGAUGCAAUUCUGCGAGCACAACUGUUUUGUUUAUUUUUUAUUUACUUCUCAACAUUAUAAAUUUGCUUGCCAUAAUAUAAACUCUUUCCUGUGCAUACUUCAUAAAUAUAUAUUUCUACAUUGAUGUAAACUAUUUGAAUACUAGCAAAAAAUGUUAAUGGAUUAAAGAUCUAUUAUUAAGUUUUUUCUUUAUACAAACUUAUACCAGUCAUCAAAAGUUUCAUCCAGAGUGAAAUUCUGCAUCCACAGCGAUAAUAAAUCUUCCUUUUACUAUAUAAGCAAACUGUUACAGUGUACAGUGAGUCCAGUCACUGCAAAGGAAUGUUCCCUGUCCAUUUAAUAAAUGAAUGCAUAGAAUUAA
Paramormyrops kingsleyae is the source of this 3575-nucleotide RNA transcript. RefSeq lists it as uncharacterized. NCBI's taxonomy places the organism in Eukaryota, Metazoa, Chordata, Actinopteri, Osteoglossiformes, Mormyridae. The record is from RefSeq and is a predicted model, not a curated record.